This 466-nucleotide ribosomal RNA is filed under the name uncultured bacterium. RNAcentral's name for it is "bacterial SSU rRNA". It matches the Rfam family "Bacterial small subunit ribosomal RNA", at positions 335 to 800 of the family's 1533-position model. The record is from RNAcentral.
ACUCCUACGGGAGGCAGCAGUGAGGAAUAUUGGACAAUGGGCGGGAGCCUGAUCCAGCCAUGCCGCGUGCAGGAAGACGGUCCUAUGGAUUGUAAACUGCUUUUGUACGGGAAGAACAAGGGGCACGCGUGCCCCCUGACGGUACCGUAAGAAUAAGGAUCGGCUAACUCCGUGCCAGCAGCCGCGGUAAUACGGAGGAUCCGAGCGUUAUCCGGAAUCAUUGGGUUUAAAGGUCCGUAGGCGGGCCGUUAAGUCAGGGGUGAAAGUCUGCGGCUCAACCGUAGAAUUGCCCUUGAUACUGGUGGCCUUGAGUUAUGGUGAAGUAACUAGAAUAUGUAGUGUAGCGGUGAAAUGCAUAGAUAUUACAUAGAAUACCGAUUGCGAAGGCAGGUUACUAACCAUAUACUGACGCUGAUGGACGAAAGCGUGGGUAGCGAACAGGAUUAGAUACCCUGGUAGGUCAGUC